AAUCCAUAGGUUAAUGAGGCGAACCGGGGGAACUGAAACAUCUAAGUACCCCGAGGAAAAGAAAUCAACCGAGAUUCCCCCAGUAGCGGCGAGCGAACGGGGAGGAGCCCAGAGCCUGAAUCAGCAUGUGUGUUAGUGGAAGCGUCUGGAAAGGCGCGCGAUACAGGGUGACAGCCCCGUACACAAAAGCGCAUGUGCUGUGAGCUCGAUGAGUAGGGCGGGACACGUGGUAUCCUGUCUGAAUAUGGGGGGACCAUCCUCCAAGGCUAAAUACUCCUGACUGACCGAUAGUGAACCAGUACCGUGAGGGAAAGGCGAAAAGAACCCCGGCGAGGGGAGUGAAAAAGAACCUGAAACCGUGUACGUACAAGCAGUGGGAGCACAGGUUUACCUGUGUGA
This 399-nucleotide ribosomal RNA is filed under the name Salmonella enterica subsp. enterica serovar Infantis. Its description in RNAcentral is "partial 23S ribosomal RNA". It matches the Rfam family "Bacterial large subunit ribosomal RNA", at positions 161 to 596 of the family's 2925-position model. Lineage: Bacteria; Pseudomonadati; Pseudomonadota; Gammaproteobacteria; Enterobacterales; Enterobacteriaceae. RNAcentral also lists the same sequence under 4 other names. The record is from RNAcentral.